Molecule: long non-coding RNA, 14000 nt
Organism: Varanus komodoensis (Komodo dragon)
Lineage: Eukaryota; Metazoa; Chordata; Lepidosauria; Squamata; Varanidae
Exons: 2
Source: RefSeq, a predicted model, not a curated record
UCACUGCAGUCUCCACCCUCGCUGCUUGGCUGCCGUGGCACAACGAAGCCCCAUCUUGCCAGCUUCUUUAAGACCCGGCUUCGUCCCUCCUCAACUUCGUCCCUCUGCAAAACAGAAAUCCAGUGGCUCUGCAUGCCCCAAACUGCAGAAACAGGAGCUGUUUUCAGGGUUAUUGCGAGAAUAUGAUAGAAAGGAGGGCAACCAUGCAAGAUGACUUUGGUUCCUCCAAGAAGAAGAAAGCUGUAACACAGAGGAAGAGGAGGAGAACAACAACCACCACACAGGAAAGAGCAGGCCAAACAAUGGCUAAGUUCAUGGAACUUCACAAUCCGUAUGUACGUAAGAUUGAGCAUGGAUUGAGUGUGAGUUGUUGAACCAAGGACUGUUGUGUUGUGCAACCCAAGAAGUGAAGCAAGCCAUGGUUUUUUAACCAUGUACAACCAAAUGAACCAUGGGCUGUCUUCAUAGCUUGUUAGGAUGGCUGUGAUUACACAAUGUAGCAACCCAGAGUCAACAACAACCUAUGUUGUUGAGUAUGGGUUGCCAAGUUGUAUGAAUCAGCCUAUUUGUCUAUUCAGACCAGUGUAUGUUUAAUCAGACCAAGAGUAUCAAUCCAUGGCAUUGACUAGGUUGUCUUCUCUCACCUCCUACCUGAUCUUUUUUUAAAGGUGGAAGUCCUCAAGAUUAAACCUGGGACUUUCCCACUACAUAAAAUUGGUGCUCUCCCAGUAAGCCACAGUUCCUCCCUUCUUAGGUUAAGGUUAUUUCUGAGGCUGAAGGUAGCUAGCCAAGAAGAACAGCUGGAGGUUUCUUGGCUGGAGGGCAGUGGAAAGACUGGGUGAAGAAGUGCAGCGUUAUGCUUUACACUAAUUCUUGUUAACUACAAUGAAAAGGCACUACAAACAUUCAGAAUCAAUUUGCACUAUUGCACACACACUGGAUGGCACUUGCAGGCUCAUUUUUAUGUAACAUUAUUUUUGGGCUGCCUUUGAGGCUAAAGCCUGCUCAGGUUUAAUAAUACUCCCCAGGUUGCAGAAUUCAGUGCUCUCCCAAAGUUCCACAUUCUGGCAGUUAAGGGCUAAACCUUCCUCAGACCUGCUCCUGCUGAAUCAGACCAAGGGUUCGUCUAGUCCAGCAUUCCAACGCCAUGGAUCCAUUUGGAUGUCAUGCUGACCACCAAUGACCAUUUGCAACCCGUAGUGCAAACAACACAUGGUGCACCUGAAAGAUGCCAGGACUCACUGUGGGUUGUUCGUUUCCUCCCUUGGGUAUCCCAGGAGACACUACAGGGGGGACAAGUUUUCUUCCCCAUCCCUGAGACAACUGCAAGCCAUUUCAGGCUUACCGUGGUAUUUUUCACAGUUUAAACUUUUUUUCCUGGAGAUCACAAAAACUGGCCAUUCAGCAAUCCCCAUCAUUGUGGACAUCUUCGAGAGCUGCCACACUUGCCACAUAGGGUUGGUUAUGGUUUUAAUUCUCCCUGCCCCCAAAUUUACAUUUGCAAAAAUUAUUCCUUUUUUUAAUCCACUGUCAAAAUGCAAGCUGUCAAAUGUCAAAAUGGUGUGUGAUUUUAGCUUGCAAAAGUGUGGUGGCAACUUGUUUACUCCCCUUCGCAGCAAGAUACUCCUGGGGGGUGUUUUGGACCCAGGCAUCCUAAGUGUGUCCAGAUGUUUUGGACUCUCCAUAUCUGUAGACUAUCUUUCCAAAAACAUCAGAACACCCUUAGGACACACAAGUCCAAAUAACUCCAGGAGCACAAAGAUCUAAUCAUGAAGGUGGUGAACCUUUUCUUGCAAGCCAAGAUCAUGAAUGCCUCUGAUUAAAUUUGACAGCUGUCAGAGGGAACCAAAGGGUUAACCAAAUUUAGCUGCACCCUUUAUGGGGCAAUGUUCAGAAUGGACACAUGCUGGACUUCACCAGCAAGCAUGCCCCUACACAUUGCCCACGUAAAGCUCCCCAUUACCACAACUGAGAACUUCAACAGUUGCCUUAAGUACAAGUGAAAAUAUAACAAUAUGUACCAUCUUAUGGAUAUGUGUGAAAAUUGGGGGGAAUUUGAAAAGACUGACAACCACUGGCAGCCUGUCCAAGAUGCCCUGGGGCACUCUGCAGAUAUUACUUGAUGCUUUACAAAUAAGGGUUGUAAAUGCUGACUUAACCGUUGAUUUAUUUCAUAAUUGCCAGGGAAAAACUGAAAAAAGCCAUGCUGAGCCCAAAAGAGUUUACAGGCACAAUGCCAACAGCAGAAGCUUUUGCCACCUGCCCUCAAGUGCCUCUUGGGCACUUCUAGGAAGGCUGGCACUGGCAGCUACCAGGACACACUUGGCCAGGAGUUUCUGCUGCUCUUGCCACUCAUGUUGGUAACCAAUACCUUGGUCUCAUGAUAGGUUGUGUUACCCAGGUUCAAACUACAACUACCCCAAAAUAAGCCAUGAGUUGUUGCCCUCAGUGAGUCACCCUGUGGGAAUCAGUCACACAAAACAUCCGAUCGCCAUGGUUUCAGAACCAUAAUGGGUUGCUUUGUCAUGCAACACUUGUCACUGUCUCUGGCAAGCUCACAAAACACAACACAAAAGCAUCAGCCUUCUCUAGUUGCCACUAUGGCAACUCUAUGAACUAUUAUUUUGGAAGGGAAGUCUACCAAACAGCACUGGUGUGCUGGAGGUCAUCAAAAUACAUGUAACUUGGAAAAAGAUGGCUUUUACCCUUUAUAAAUUCCAGUACUCCAAGAAAACUACCAAGUACUCAUUGUAAAUUGUAGAGACAAGACCUUUUAGAUCAGCCUUCCCCAACCUGGCAAACUCUAGAUAUUUUGGGCUAUUGUGCUUACUGUGCUUGCUGAAGCUGGUGGGAGUUGCUGCCCACCAGAAGGUUUGGGCUACAAGUUGAGAAAGGUUGGUUUAUAUAACCCCUGUUUACUCUAUAAUUUAGGUCCUCAAACUUUUUCACUAGGGGGCCAGCAGAAAGGUGCUGGUGCUGGGCGCGGGCCGGAAAGACGGUGUCAGUGGGGCACAUGGGCCAGCACACACUGAGGCGGGGCCGGGGUGCGCAGUGAGGCGAGGUGAGGCACAGGCAGGCGAGGUGGGGGUGGGCAUGCGCCGUGAUGCAGCAGCGGGCGCACGAGGCGGAGGCCUGCUCCCUUGGAGUUCAUUUUCUCUGAGCACGUCCAAAAUGAUCUCCUCACGAGCAAGUCACCGCCUCCCCACACGCAGGGCAAGGCGCUGGUGGGCAUGCAUGGGGUGAGGCGGGUGACGGCGGGCACAUGUGCAGCAAGUCCAAAACCUCAGGCAGGCCAGAUAAAUGGGCAUGGAGGGCCAGAUGCAUCCCGUGGGCCAUAGUUUGAGGACCCAUGCGCUAUAACUUGCACUCUUUUUGUGCCAUGAACAUCAACAAAAACUCCACAAAUGUGCUCAUGAAACAGUCAGUUUCUUUGUUAUUGAAUCAUUAAUGGACUGUUGAUUAAUUCUUGCAUUUUAAAAAAAUAAAAUUUAACAAAUUAAAAAAAUAUGGAGCUUUCAUUUAGCAAUCAUAGCUAAUAGCUACCAGAAGACAGGUCCUCUAUAAAUUUGUUCAAGCCUUUUUUGAUGUCACUGAAACAUACACUCAGAAUGGACCUCAAAUGUUAUGCUGCUGAUGCAGGAAUUCUGCUGUUAAAUAUCCUUGAUAGGCGGCCCUCCAGCCUCUGCUUAACAGCCUCUAAAGGAGGAAAGUCCAGCACUUCCAAGACAGUCUGUUCCAUUGUUCGACAUCCAGUAUUAGAAGUUCUCUCUAACAUUUAGUUGAAAUCUCCUUUCUUUUAGAUGUACCUGUUGGUUCGGGCCCUACCUUCUGUAGCAAUGGAAAAUUAAUUGUCUUCAUCCUUUGUGACAGUCCCUCAAAUAUUUGAAGAUGGCAAUCUUGUCUCUUCUGCAGGUUAAACAUACUGACUCCCUUCAAUCUUUCUUCGUAGGACAUGGUUUCCCCUCAUUAUCUCUGCCACCUGCAUCUGGGCAUAGCAUUUUGUAAAUGGAAAUUGCUGCACAGAAGAGAUCAACUGCAAUUGUCAUAACAAAAUUUGAGAUACUGUCAAAAGGUAACUGAGAUGCACUAUUUAGUCAAACAUUUCAAAACUAAACAGGCUUAAAUUCCAGGGCAGAAGCUUGUUACAGCACUACUUCCCAUACAGACUUGCACAGAAGUCCAAACAGAGCUGCAUACCAACAUCUUGGGGUAAGACGCUGCAUACAGGGCUCUCUUCUCUCCCCCUUAAGCACAGUGACUGAAGUAAAAGAGAAAUCAGUAGCUAAAAACCCAGUAACGGCUUAAACGUUUCAGCUUCCUUUGGAGAACUUGAGCUUCCUCUGCUUCAACAGAGAGAAAAUCUCUUAGAAUAAUUCACCUAUAACUGUGAAAACAAGCAAAUGCAGAGCCAGGAAGAUGCUGAUAAGGGGCUAGGAUUGGCCUGAAUGAUAUUUCAGGGAUCCUUAAUUGCAAAGGUUCAGGAUUCCUUCCAGUUUUUCUGUAAAUAAGCCAUCAGCAUGCAAGCGCCUUAUUUCUUAAGGCAAAAUGCAGCUGGUGGCAGGUAAAGUGUGGGCCUUGUUCCUUCCCCAUAGAAAGCAUCAGGGACAGAUGUCUUGUAGGCCACCCUGCGAGGACAAGAGCAGGGGACUACCCCAUCUGCCAUUCUUCCACUUUGCAGGAACAGGGUCUGAAAAGGAGACAGAGAGCUGACUUGGUUCUCUGUAUGCACUACAGACACCCUGAGAAAUCUGAUGAGCAACAGGAAAGUGCUGGCUGUUGAUGUGAACCCUCCUCUUAUAUUUACACAUGUGUAAUAAAUCUUGCAUCAGAAAUGUCAUAAUUCUCAAGCAACCACCUUAAGAAAAACAGAUCCUGGGUCCCUUGAAUCUUCUCAGUGCUUGGAAGAGGGGUACAGAACAUUGUUAGUAUAAAGACCAUGGAGUUCCAAAUGAGCACUUUUAUGUGAUGGAAUAUAUGUAGGAACACAUGCUUCACUAAUUUCCACCCAUUUUCACAUGCCCAUUAUAACCAAACUCGUGUUCCAGUUGAUUCUUUCAUUGAAUAGCCCCAUUAAUUAACAGGCUGAACAAAAGACUGAGGGCAGUGUCUGCAUCUAGAACUUUGGACAGUUGCAUCCCAGCUAAUAUAUCUCAUCUCAAGGUUAUGAAUAGAUAAACAGACUAGAGAUUCCACAUCAAAAAGAGAACUUUGCCUGUGAAAGAGCCCUAACUUUACAUGCAGAAGAUCCCAAACUUAGUAUUUGGCAACUGCAAAUGAAAUCAGUCAAGCAGCAAGGGAAGGGAAAGGCCUCUGACAAGAUAAAUUACCAAUCAGAGUAAGAAACACUGAGCUAGAAGGACCAAUGAUCUCAUGAAGCAUAUUUUAAUAUUGCAUUUAUAAGCUGUCUUUUAUCCUCUUGCAAGCAAUCCAAGAUGGCUUAGACAGUUCUCCACUCUGCUUUUAUCCUCACAACGACAGUGCUGUGAGCUAGUUUGAGUGAAAAGUAAGUAACAUGCCCAAAGCUACCCAGUGAACUUAAUGGCAGACUGGGAACUAGAACCCGGAUCUCCCAGGUGCCCAGGCCAAAACUCUAAGCACCACACCAGUUUUCCACAUAAGGCAAAUUCUUGUUUGGUUAUGCAGUACAGUGCAGUAUUGUGCCAAUUCCCCACACGCCCUGCAGAUUUGCUCUACAGAUGUCCAAUUAACCUCUCUUUCAGGUAAAUAAACAGAAUAAGCAACCUUUUUGGUCCUGUGGAAUACUUGAACAAAAAAAAAGGGGGGGGAAUGAUUGCAUAUACCUUUCUAAAUUCUCACUAUCCUUAACCCAAACUUUCUGGAUUCCUUUUUUCCUUCUCCUCUCCAGCUGUUUUUGUAUGGAAUUUUUGUCCCCAAAGCUACUCUAUGGAGAAAUCUUCCUCCAUUGACUUUGACAGAUUUCGGGGGAAAGGGUCCUUGCUGAAAAGCAGGUGAAGGGAGGAAGGGAAGCCUAUACCCCACCAAGGACGACCCUGUUUCCCAAAGGAUCCAUGGUAAGGGUUGCCCCAUCUACCUAUCUUAACGAAGUCCUGUUCCACAAGCAGUAUUCCUUAUACUGGUGGAACAAUGUUUCUGGAUCCAACUGAGUGAUUAGAGGCAACUAUAAUUAGUGAGAGCAAGUUUUAAAGGGUGCAAGUCAAAGACACUGUUUUUUCACUGUUUGGAUCUGAAGUUUUAUUGUUACAUGGGAUGGAAAAGAAAAUUUUGACCUUUGCUUCUCGAAGCUAGUGAUGUUUUCAUCUACUGAAUUGUUACACCUGAUCCCUUAAGUGUUUCAGAAAGGCAUCUAUGCUGAGAUUUAGUCAACAGGCAAACAUAGUUAAAUACAGACAAUCAACCAACAAGCUAAAAGCCAAAUGAUUAGUCAACUAUACAUAAUUAUCUGUUGGCAGUCAUAAUUAAAACACAGGUUGGCUCUUGGAAAGGUAGGGAGGAGAACCUGAGGCCCUAUGCUAGUUGGCCAUCUCAUCCUUGGAGCGCUGGAAUUAAAGAGAGAGCAUGCAGGCCUGGACUGUCUUGUUUUUUCAUCUGUAACACUAAGAAUGUAACAUCCAUGCAUGUUUAGCCAGAAAAAGUCCUACUAAGCUCCAGCAUGCUGGCUGGGGGAAUUGUACUUUUACUAGCUAAACACAUACAGGAUUGCACCCUUUGUAAAUUUAUGGGUGGGACCCAAUGCCACACAAGCAAAUUUACACUCAUGCAAGGAAGCCACCCCUUCCCCUGCUGCCCCGUGGGCUCCUCCCCCCAAAUCUGCUGCAGAGGGUCCACCCAGAGAGUUGUUCAUUUUUCGUUCUGCUUAUGGAAGCUUUAUGUUGGUGGGCGACACCAACUGGAUUUUACUCAAGGUGUCCUCUAUAAAAUGAUAGAGAUGAGGACGAUAGACCAACAUCAUAAUAAAUGAAUUAGCAUUUUCUAUUUCCUGCCAAGGUAAAGACAGGCAAUUAACUGGAGGAUAUCCAAGCCAGAUCAUCACUCCAAUAAAUGGGUAUGUUGUUAAUUCUCAGCCUCCUAAAACAACAGCACUGUGCUAGGUUGCAAUCGUGUGUGGACCAAAAUUUUCUAGCUGCUGUAGUAUUUGUAUUUGUUCCUCCCUUCUCUCAGGAAGCAGCUGAAUGAAGGGCAUGAAGCAGGCAAACUUCAGGAAGAGCCUCUCCUGUGUAAGCUAAAAUUGAAAUGAAAAACUUUAUGCGAAGGCACCGCCAAUCCCUAGUAAAACUUUGAUUCAGUGGCACUUCCAUAAUUCCCAGUGAACUGUGUCUAAACAAUUAACACAAGGCUUUCGCAGGGAUGUAAAUAAUAGAGGUAAUUAUUUAGCUUAAGUGAUUUAGCUUAAAUCACUAUAUGGAUUUAUACUGGUUUCAUUGUAAAUAUUCCUCUUCUGUUUUUGAAACCAUGUUUUACUUUAAUCAAAGAAAAUAUUCAUCCCUGAAAAAGAUAAUAUCUAUUUUCUUUCUUCAUAAAGCUUGCUGCCCGUGUCCACCAAGAAUUAAAUCCCAUUUGCCCAUCCAGGGAAGGAUGUAUGACUGUCACCAAGCAGCUGGGUACAAAUUACAUAUUACAAAAAAAUGCCAUUCACAGAUGCUGCUUACAGGAACGGAAAGUAAGAGUACAUACAGCUUCUUUUCUGAUGCACCCAGAUACGACCCAUAAACCUCACCAAAACACAAAUACCUAUUAAACUGGGGUGGGGAGCCCAAGGCUUUCCAGACAUUGACUGACUUCAACUCUUACCUUCUCUUAUCUACUGGACAUGGUAACUAGGGCUGAUAAGUGACCAAGUCAGCCAAUAUCUGCCAGUUCAGACUCCACACCUGAAUUAGAUAUAUUGCAACUUAUAUCUAAUAAGUGAGAUUUUAAUGACCAAAAAUUGUAUCUAGUUAUUAAUUUAACAUGUCCCAUCCAUUCCAAAGUAUUUACUCUAAGAAGGACAAACAGUUUUUAGAUGUAACCUUUUGGAGUGUUUCAUUUUGACUGAACUUUUUCUCUUCAAUGAGAUGUUUGUCACAAUCCCACAAUCCACUCCAAGAAAUGAGGAUUCCAUGACAUCUAGGAGUUCAAAGUGAUCCUGGUCUGUAGAGUUCACGGAUAGGAGCCUAUUCAGCAAGAGACACUAAACCCGGUUUGGUCAUCAUACCCACCCACAGUUUAAAUUGUAGGUUGUUGUGAACAAAUAUGAGCCCCCAGCCACUCAUGCUAAAUAAUCCAGCAAUGCAUCACCCCCAAGAUGUUUUCUCUUACACAUGAACCUAGAAUUGUGGGUUGCUGGUGAACACCCCAAACUUUAACAUCCAUUAUUAUUUCAGGAGGUCCAGGCUUCCUGGUUUACCUCAAUUAUUUACGCCCCUGAGAAAUCCUUUCCCUAACAGCUCCCUUACCUAGCCUUAGCACAGGUGAAAUAAAGCCAGUUCAUGGGCCCAUGUACUCUUGCAGUAUAAACACUUUCUUUCACUGUUCCUCAGCAAUUGUUUUCAUGGAGUAUCAUAUACAUGUUCCCCUGGCUAUGCUCUUACCCCAGUGCCUUCCAAACUUACACUGCUGGGUUCUACAGAGCCCAGCUGAUACCUCCAUUUCCAGUCCACAUGCCUAAUACUAUUCAAGAAAGAGAACAAAGCAAUCAGCUUUGGGUUAAUCAGUUGUCUGGCCAAGUUCAUAAAUGUAAUCCACUCCCCAUUACGGUCCCAACAUUCUAACAUCACUUUCCCAGUAAUUGGGAAAGGCCUCAAAGAAGCUGUGAGACAAAACUACUCUAUCAUGUAUGUGCAAAGUGGUGCUAAUGAGCACAUCUGAAAACUUUUUUGCUAAAACCCCAGUGGUAUCUGAUAGGUAUAGCAGAGACUGCUGGUGGAUCCAUUCCUGCUGCCCUCAACAGGAGAUUUAGGAGAUAUGACAAAUCUGUAGGGGUUGAGAAGGGAAGUCCUACUGCAGAACUCUAAGCCUACUUACACCAUGCAAGAUUUAACCUAGAAUUCUAGUGUGCAGCAGGGCACAGGAAGUAUGGCACCUCAUUCUGGGCUUAAUCAGCCAAGAUAUAUUCAGCCUGUCUGCAAUUUUUGUGUUCCAGGAAGAGAGAUUUGAAGGUUGAAGUCAUCACCUGUAACCUAGAGUUGCAGCCCCUUUCCCCUAAAACUACACAGGUGGUGGUGAGUAUUGCUGCUUCUGAUUACACAGAAGUGAAGGAAAGUUACUUUGCACAUGCUCAGAAACACUUGUGAUCUGAUCUACUACUAUGUGAAGUGGGUUCCAUGUGCCAGAUUAAUCCCUGGUUUUCUGCUUGCUCCAUACAUGAAGCCAUUUGCCAGUUGCUUCCAUAUAUAUUGCAUUGCCUACCUUUCUAUCAGUAGCCCCAACACUCACUCAAUGCUCCCCACACAAGGGGGAUCACAAGUCUCAGUGGAAAACCUCGUUGUUUAAAACAGGCUCUUUUUCCUGGGAAGAGUGCUUGGGCAUGUACAGACAACACUAAAACUGCCCACCAUCACCACAACUGCUGACAACAAGCAUCAAGCCAAAUGGAACAAUAACUGCCCAGAGAACCAAAACAGCCUUGUUUCAUGUCACUUACUGUGGGACCUUUUGUCUUCAAGCCAAAGGCAAUGACAGAAGGAACAUGGGAAAUGGACUGCAAUUGACAGCUCAACACAGACCAUCAUUCAGCAGGAGGAAGUGGAGUCGGCAGAGCUUUCAGAGCAUUAGCCAAAGUCAUCAGCAAGGACUACACCACAGCCUGACCUCUCUUAGAGCUCAUACCGACCCCCUGAGUGGCGCUGCUUGCGUGCAGGCGCCCUUUACCCCCAACCACCACUGGUAAGGUCAGAGAGCAGGAAAGCAAUAGAUCUAGCUGUUAACUGGCAAAUCUCGCUGCUAAGAAACUCUCCUGCCAUUGCACAGUUUAGAUCUAAGAACAUAACAGGACCCCAGCUGGAACAAGCCAAAGACCUAGCUAGUCUGGCAGUGCAUUUCAACAGUGGCCAACCUAGUAUCUCCAGGAAGCUCAUACAAGCAGGCCACAAGGAAAACAGUCUUCCUUUAGCAUCCAGUGUUCAGAGAAGCAUACCAAAAGCAUCCAAUUUAGCUAUUUGCAUAUAGAUACCCAUAUGAAACUGCAUACAGGUAGCAAAUGAGCAGACAACCAAAGAGGGGUAGAACUCUCAGGCCAUCCCUUCUAAGCCCUCAGCUGGUUAACCGUCUUGCAGGUUACUCAUUCCUGUGAGCUUAGGUUGGCUUAUAUAUUUGCCCAACCUACCAAGUUCAACGCUAUAUUUACUCACAUUUCUCUUGACCGUUCUUCGUACUGGCUGAAAUGCAAAACCACUGGCUGGCAAAGACCAAAAGAAACUGGGCACUGAGUGAAAAAUACAGCACAAGAGAACACGGUUUUGUACUUGCACAAAAAGAACGGGGCAAACAGACUCCUCUACAACAAUGCCCACCAAGGAUAAUCACAGCUGACCGUUUACUCAGUGGUAACUUACUGUGUACACAGACUCGCUUUACCGUAAACCAAAGCAUCCAGAUCAUUUCAAGAACCUCAAGCUCUCUCUAAGGGCUUUACCAGGAUCCUGCUUCUCCUGUCUGUGAAUAAAAUGGGUCAGAGGCAAGGAGCGUGCAAGAUAGAGGAGACAAAGUCCAGAUUUCAAACCAGCAUCCUAGCUUAUGUUCCCCUCCUAUGCAGAAAUUAUGCAAAAAUAAGUUCCAGCCCCAAAAAGGGAACAAACACAUGGCAUUAAGCAAGAUGUGCUGCUGUUCAAGUUGCCAACAUUCACAAUUUUUCAGUUUAGAAGUCAAAGCAUCAGCUUGGAGCUCUAAACACCUUGAACUACAGAAAACCAACUGUUACCUGAAGAUAUUUUCUGAUCUUGUCAGCAUUAUUGUAUGGGGUCUUCAGAGUACAGGCCCGAAGAUCAUUCGUGUUCAGCUUUCAAGCUCUGUUGCAGAGUGCUCCAUGUUAGGAUUGCUCCAUAAAUUUAAUCUAGAUCAUCUCUAUGACAGCAAAAGCCACAAUAUGAGCAGGAACAAGCAAAGGGAGCCAACACAGGGACUGCCAACAGUAGAAAGAAUUACUAAUACUAAAGCUAUAUGUCUGUGAAACAAGGCGAGCUGGCUCUGAGCUGUCACUCCACAUUCUUCUCGAGGGACUACCCAGGCUACCUGGGCAUCCAUACUUCUAUGCCCAAAAUCAAUGCAUUUUGUGUUCAGUGAUUUACUUGAGCUUAUUCUGCAAUGCACAGUAUCUCCAGACCCCCUUAUAGUAUCUGGCUAAUCCGAAUUUUUAACCAAGUGGGUCCAAGUUCAUAUAUACUGUGUCAUUAAAGUGUAGAUUUAUGACAGUACCUGAGCUCACCUCUUUAAAGGAUCUGUUGUAAGCAGGUACUGGAAAGAACUCAUUUCUGUAGCAUCAAGGUGCUACUCAUCUUGCACCUACAGAAGCUCCUGAAAGCAUCCCGCUGAAGUAGGGUUCUAAAGUAGGCCCUGCAAAAGAAACCAGCAUGGUCCCAACAGCUAUGCACUACAGCCUGCCAGGGGCUUGAGAGGGCUCCUGCAUCCUCAGUUCCCAAACAUGCAGCAAUAGAAGAGGCUUAAUUGAGUCCCAGAUGGGCCCCUAUAGCUAUCACACUGUGUUUGACUCACCGGGCUGCAAGCCAUGCAGGCUAACUCUACAGAUCCAAGACAAACUGAUGCCCAGGGGCCAAUUCCUAGGGCUCUCCACAUGGCCCAAACCUAGAAGGCCUGCCCCACCUGCCGCAGGAGGCUGCAGCUGCAUGCUCUCCCAAAGCUCGCCUGCAGCUGUUCAACAGUCUCUUGCACCAUCGCCCAAGACACUGAGCAGAAUAUCCUACACAGCGCUGGACUGUAGCUUCCCACCCAAGAGCUGAUUCCUUCAUUUAUUCUUCUUAGCCAGACUGCCUAUAAGCUGCGGCAAAGAUGUAAAGUGCUCCAGUGAUACACCCAGUGGCACAACCAGAGCAAGCUGGACAGCUGAGGGGAAAACAGAGCCUUGUUCAAUUUGGUCCCAGUGACAAAACAGCUGUUGCGGACUUCAUUUCACACCACCAGCUUGGGGGAAGGCAAGACCAGCUGUUCAGUAGCUUCUCAAAUGGCGGCAGUAUAUGGAGAGGCCCAGCAUCAUACAGCAUAUUUGCCCCAAAGUAUCGCAGCCUAAAUAGCUUACUCUAUAGGGAAAAGAAGUGAAAAAGCCAGCUUUCAGAGGGUACCCAGCCCAUGCCCUUUUCACAUCACCCUCACCCAGAACAUGCUAACUGGCAGCCAUAGGAACUUGUCUGUGGGCAGGAUGUAUGCUAAAGGGCAGAAGCAAAUCUAGACCAAAUUUGGGGGGUUGGUAUGGAAUUAGCUAAUGAGGGGUACAGCCCAUGCUGCACUCACCGCUUAAAGGUCCGCAGACCUUUCUGGCAUCUGUAACGCCAAGUGCUUUCCAUCAACUCCUAUUUAUGCCACGAUGCAUCGUCUCUUAGAAAAAGAACCUCUUAGCUUGCCACACUUACUCCUACCACUGGGAACAUCCAAACUAGAAUGCUAAAACAUGCUCAAGAACUUCAGGAUAUGGAGGCCAGUCUAGGAACAGGGGAACCCCUCACUUGAUUUGGACACAGCUGCAGAAUUCGAUUUAAUAAACCAAGAUGCUUGUGCUUAACACCCUCUCUGGAUUCAGCAUUCUUCAGCUGAAGGCUUUCUGAAUUAAUGGAUCAUAUCGUUUCCCACUGACUGGGAAGUAUUACAAGGGUCAGAACUAACCAAGACCUUAAGCCACUUUAAAUCAUGGUUUAAGAGCCUGGUUUCUUCCAGGCCUUGUAAUUAAUUUACUUAAUUUAACCCAACAAGACUUCAGUCACAGGACACCAAGAAAGGAAAGGGUGGAGCGUGCACACAUGGCUGAUACAUACCUUGGCUCUCAUGUCUUAAUCAGGUCAUGGCAAUGAACUGAGAUAAUACACCAGUGUUAAUUAUCUACACUGGCUUGCUACAAUUCAAAAAGUAUCGGAACCACACCUGCUUCUGGUCAUUAGCUUGGACAUUCAGUAGAAACUCUCCUCUGGAUAAACCCAGCCCCAGAAAUGAAACAGGUAGCAACCAGGAAUAGUCUUAUCUAUGUUGGUGUCUCAUUUAUGAAACAUUCAAAAUCAUGCAACCAUUGAGCUGCAGGUUGAUCUGCAGGGCUGACCUGCCUCUAUUUAAACGCCUCCAGUGAGGAAGAGCCCAUCAUUCCUCCAGAUGAUUGGUUGCAUUGUCAAACUGUUCAAGAAGUUACUACUAGUGUUCAACUAACACUGCCCCUCCUGCAAUGUAACCUCAUUGACUAACUCCUACCCGCUAAAACAGCAGUGAACAAGUCUUGUCCAUGUGGCACCUACUUUUACCGAUUCAGGCAGCAGGUGAAGACUUAUCCUCUCACACUUCUAGUUCUUAAAAAACCACACAUACAAUUAUUCUUUAUUCCUGCUGGUUUUAUCUUAGCAGUGUUCUUCACUUGGGUGCUUUUUUUCUUUAAAAUUAAAAUGAUAUUGAGCUGGAUCUAAAAGCAUGCUUAGAACAGACUCACUAAAAUCAGGAGAGCUCUUUUCAAUGAAACACUAGCAUUAGUUGCAUUUGGGGUUAUUUUUGACCCCAAAGUGUCUCAGGCAUGAAGAAAGUUGCUUAUGAAAAGCCUUUGUUUUAGCUGAAUUUUCCUCUCGGGCGGUUUCAAUCAAAGUAAGAAUGACUUUCAGCUAUCAGCAAGUAUAUGUAAUUUCAAUGCAAAAUGAGAAAUCUGUGUAACAAUGCUUGCUCUGCACAAUAGUUUGGCCUAGUAAUUCUGUUUGCUGGAAGUUUUAGCUAAGAAUCUUAACUUUAGCAAGAGACUAUGAUGAUCUGUACUGAAUGUAUUUUGCUCCUUUGUUUGGGGUAUAAAAGUACACUCAUGCAACUAUUUCAAUUGGCUGCUUUAAAAUAAAUAAUCAAAUAAUCAA